AGCCGUCUAAGGUGGGACAGAUGAUUAGGGUGAAGUCGUAACAAGGUAGCCGUAGGAGAACCUGCGGCUGGAUCACCUCCUUUCUAAGGAA
Molecule: ribosomal RNA, 91 nt
Filed under: Weissella confusa
Lineage: Bacteria; Bacillati; Bacillota; Bacilli; Lactobacillales; Lactobacillaceae
Description: partial 16S ribosomal RNA
Rfam family: Bacterial small subunit ribosomal RNA
Source: RNAcentral